Long non-coding RNA from Salvia hispanica, 1165 nucleotides. RefSeq lists it as uncharacterized. The record is from RefSeq and is a predicted model, not a curated record. Lineage: Eukaryota; Viridiplantae; Streptophyta; Magnoliopsida; Lamiales; Lamiaceae.
CCUCUCUUCCUUAUCCUCACUUUCUUUUCUUUUAUUUUCUUAAGUUAAUAGAUAUGUUAGGAGGCAGUAGCACCCCUAUUUGGGUUGUGGUUUUGCUUAUCGAAUUGUGAAGCUAGCACCUUGAUUUGAACUCACUGUCGGCUACUAUGAAAAAGUUGUGGAUGAAGCAUUUCAAGUAAAGCUAGCAUUUUCUUUGUGGAUUUAACACUUAGCAUGUUGUUCUCUGAGUUUCCCUUGUUUCAUCUAUGUGUUAAGGCUCUAAAUUUUCUUAUCCUAAGCAUGGCAUUCGAAACAAGGCAGGGGAGUGUUAAAGGUUUCAUUGUUCUUCCAUUAUCCUAUCAUGCUGUUAAGAUCUGAAGUGGUGGUGCUCUUAACAUGCUUGUGCUUUAUUUACUACAUGCUGACAUGAAAUUUUGAUUGGGAGGAGGGUGGAGGUGUAUUACCUCUGGAAAUCGAAGGAGUGGCUGACUUGCUGCUGCUCACUACUUGCUCUACCCUCUAACUCUCUGUUUUUGCUGAAUUUUGAAGUGUGUGUGAAAGGAGUUGGUGUGUGGUGUGGAGGGGCCUUUAUAGGCCGAGCUUUGGUGUACUCUUGAGCCUUAAAUGGCUGCUGUACCAUUUGUUGCUAUGUGGCAGAAAAUCUCACCUUUAGUGAUCCUCAUGCAGCACUCUUUAACUGAGAAUUGGUGGUAUUCUAAGGACAUAAGGACUAUGCAUUCAUGCCAUUUGUUGUCUUUCUUCUCCUUUUUGCAGGGGCUUGUUGAGGGGUCAAAAGUUGCAGCUGUUCUUGCCUCUUUUGGCAAGUGUUUUGGUCUACUCUAACAAAGGAGAAAGAGACAACUUGCUGCCACCCAACUGUCCCGGGAGGUAGGCUCGCUGCCUUGGCUCACCGGCUGACCGGGUGGGGUCGCGGUGGUGUGCGGCUCGGGCUCGGAAAAGAAGAGGCCCAACGUGUAGUAAAAGAGUCGGCCUUAGUUCUUAGCCUUUUAGCCCAUACUUGUAAAUUUGUGUACUAGCAUUCUCAUUUCCUUUUUCUUAAACUCACGUGUACUUAAUUAAGUAAGCUAAAGUGUAAUUUGGAAAGUAGUUGCACUUUCUUAGCUAGAAAGUAAAUUCUUCACAUUCUUCUUCGUUAGAUGUGUAUCGAACAUAUUUUUAUUUUGCA